UUUCCGUAGGUGAACCUGCGGAAGGAUCAUUCAUAAUAAGUGUUUUAUGGCACUUUUUUAAAUCCAUAUCCACCUUGUGUGCAAUGUCAGGGUUGAUUUUUCUCUCGAGAGGAUCAACCCCAAACAUCAACUAUAUCUCAACUCUCUGUCUGAAAAAUAUUAUGAAUAAAACAAUACAAAAUACAACUUUCAACAACGGAUCUCUUGGCUCUC
This 213-nucleotide unclassified non-coding RNA is filed under the name plant metagenome. Its description in RNAcentral is "partial contains small subunit ribosomal RNA, internal transcribed spacer 1, and 5.8S ribosomal RNA". The record is from RNAcentral.